AUACGGAGGGUGCAAGCGUUACUCGGAACCACUGGGCGUAAAGGACGCGUAGGCGGCUUCAUAAGUCAGGUGUGAAAGCCCACGGCUCAACCGUGGAACUGCACUUGAAACUGUGAUGCUAGAGUCUGGGAGAGGUAGAUGGAAUUGGUGGUGUAGGGGUAAAAUCCGUAGAGAUCACCAGGAAUACCGAUGGCGAAGGCGAUCUGCUGGAACAGUACUGACGCUGAGGCGUGAAAGCGUGGGGAGCAAACAGGAUUAGAAACCCUAGUAGUCC
Molecule: ribosomal RNA, 274 nt
Filed under: uncultured bacterium
Lineage: Bacteria
Description: partial 16S ribosomal RNA
Rfam family: Bacterial small subunit ribosomal RNA
Source: RNAcentral